GAUGAAGAACGCAGCGAAAUGCGAUAAGUAAUGUGAAUUGCAGAAUUCAGUGAAUCAUCGAAUCUUUGAACGCACAUUGCGCCCGCCAGUAUUCUGGCGGGCAUGCCUGUUCGAGCGUCAUUUCAACCAUCAAGCCCCCGGCUUGUGUUGGGGACCUGCGGCUGCCGCAGGCCCCGAAAACCAGUGGCGGGCUCGCUAGUCACUCCGAGCGUAGUAAUACAUCUCGCUCAGGGCGUGCUGCGGGUUCCGGCCGUUAAAAAGCCUUAUUUACCCAAGGUUGACCUCGGAUCAGGUAGGAAGACCCGCUGAACUUAAGCAUAUCAAUAAGCGGAGGA
Molecule: unclassified non-coding RNA, 335 nt
Filed under: soil metagenome
Description: partial contains 5.8S ribosomal RNA, internal transcribed spacer 2, and large subunit ribosomal RNA
Rfam family: 5.8S ribosomal RNA (bases 1-120)
Source: RNAcentral